AGCAGCCGCCACGGUAAUACAGAGGGUGCGAGCGUUAAUCGGAUUUACUGGGCGUAAAGCGUGCGUAGGCGGCUUUUUAAGUCGGAUGUGAAAUCCCUGAGCUUAACUUAGGAAUUGCAUUCGAUACUGGGAAGCUAGAGUAUGGGAGAGGAUGGUAGAAUUCCAGGUGUAGCGGUGAAAUGCGUAGAGAUCUGGAGGAAUACCGAUGGCGAAGGCAGCCAUCUGGCCUAAUACUGACGCUGAGGUACGAAAGCAUGGGGAGCAAACAGGAUUAGAUACCCCCGUAGUCCCUGUCUCUUAUAU
RNAcentral lists this ribosomal RNA (303 nucleotides) under uncultured bacterium. Its description in RNAcentral is "partial 16S ribosomal RNA". It matches the Rfam family "Bacterial small subunit ribosomal RNA", at positions 507 to 809 of the family's 1533-position model. The record is from RNAcentral.